UUAAGAAGGUAGCAAUUUGAAAGGCUUUUUAUCAUUUCUUCGGCGUGGGCCCAGCGGGUGAAAACUGCAGAGAUUGAUUUGAGCUCACAAUUAGUGACUGUGAGACGUUACAAAACGCACCCGGUAGCUUUGGUAAGAAGGGCGUUUCCCGCGCUUCAAGGGGCAGCCUGGGAUUUUUUUCUCGGAUGUACGGGCACAUGGGAUAUCCGGCUUCCAAAAUCCCCGGAAGGGAUUCCAGCGGUCACGGAAAGAGAAUGAGGCCGGGCGCCAGAACACGCCGAGAAUACUACAGGGAAAGGAAGGGUCUGAGAGAGUCUACUCCGCACUCGUGCCGGGCUCAGACUCAUACGCGCGGUGGUUUUAGUCGUGUCCGACACUUCCUGACCAUCUGCGAUUUUCUUGGCAAAGAUACGGAAGUGGUUUGCCAUUUUCUUGCUCACUGAGGCAAAUGGGUUGUGUCUUGCCCAGGAUUACUCCGUUAGAGGCUAAAUUUGAACUCCUGACUUCAAGCCCCGCAGCGUGUUAACCGCGCCUUCUAGCUGCCGCAACUUCCUGGGAACUUUUUAAUUAUUAAGAAUAAAUCAAAAGUACCAAACUUUCUUUGUGGAAAGAGAAGCAGAAUGUGCCGUUCCUGCCUCUGGAAUAGGAAAAAACCUCUCCCCUCCUCGCAUUUGCAAAAACAAUUGUAAAAGCUUAAAAAAAACAGCAUAGUUGCGAAUGUGAUGAAGUAGAAGAUUUGAGUUUGAAUCUUAACCCUAGCCACGUGACUGGACGAGUAACUUGGUUUCCUCCUCCGAUGGACCUACCCUUCCUCAUCUGCCUCCACUGCCACUGUUCUCAAAGUGGUGUUACCUAUCUCACAGGGUGGUGAGAAAAUCCCUUUGCGGACUAUGUUGUUAUAAUUACAUAUUUCAUGUUAAUGACAGCAGCAGCAAAUUAUUCCUGGUUUAUUCCGAUCUGUGUUCGAAGCUUGGCUUCUCAGUCUCUAUUCCUAUCCUCUCCAGGUACCCUGGCCCUCUUCUCCCCUCCUCCCAUUGUUUGCUAGGCCUUGCUCUCCCAGGAUAUAGUCUUACUAAUGUAAAUUAAGACAAUUCUGAGAUGAUGAUUGUUGGAGGGGAUGUGGGAAAACUGGGACACUGAUACAUCCUUGGUGGAGCUGCGAACUGAUCCAACCAUCAUGGAGAGCAAUUUGUAACUUCGCCCAGGGGCCUAUCAAACUCAUACCCUUUGAUCCAAAAGUGUCUUUAUUAGGCCUGUUUCCCAAAGAUCAUAAAAAAGGGAAAAGGACCCAUAUUGCAAACAUAUUUGUAAUAGCAGGAACUGAACAUCGAAUGGAUUGGACCAUUUGGUAUUUGUUUUCUUGCUAGUACUAAGUGUACAGGAUCUCUCAUACAGCCCAGAGCUUUUUUUUUUUUUUUUUUUGGUGCAACUUCUGUACAUUCUCAUGAUGUGGCAGGAAAGCAUUGAACUUGGGAUGAAAAAUCUUGGGUAUGAGUCAGUCAUAACUAUGACCACUUACUACCUUAUAAUCCUCAUCAAUUACUUAGGAUCAUAGAAUCAUUGAGUUAUCAAGUCUAACUCUCUUUACUGUUGAGGAAACAGUCUGAGAGAGAUUACCUGACUCCCAGGAUCAGUAAAUGUCAGAGGCAUCAUUCAAACCCAGGUCUUCCUGCCUCUAAAUCUAGCACUGUCCAUUGUACAGCAUUUUGUUGUUGCUCAGUCAUUUCAUUUGUAUCCAAUUUUUCUUGACCCCAUUUAGGUGGAUUUGGUAGAGGUACUGGGAGUAGUUUGUCAUGUCCUUCAGCUUAUUUUACAGAUGAGGAAACUGAGGCAAAUAGCUGAGUAUCUUGCCUAGGGUUAUGAAGCUAAUAAAUGUAUGAAAAUGGAUUGUA
This is a long non-coding RNA of Sarcophilus harrisii (Tasmanian devil), 1892 nucleotides long. RefSeq lists it as uncharacterized. The record is from RefSeq and is a predicted model, not a curated record. The transcript has 2 exons. Lineage: Eukaryota; Metazoa; Chordata; Mammalia; Dasyuromorphia; Dasyuridae.